CGNUACUNGCAGAAUAAGCNNNGCUAANUCUGUGCCAGCAGCCGCGGUAAUACAGAGGGUGCGAGCGUUAAUCGGAUUUACUGGGCGUAAAGCGUGCGUAGGCGGCUUAUUAAGUCGGAUGUGAAAUCCCCGAGCUUAACUUGGGAAUUGCAUUCGAUACUGGUGAGCUAGAGUAUGGGAGAGGAUGGUAGAAUUCCAGGUGUAGCGGUGAAAUGCGUAGAGAUCUGGAGGAAUACCGAUGGCGAAGGCAGCCAUCUGGCCUAAUACUGACGCUGAGGUACGAAAGCAUGGGGAGCAAACAGGAUUAGAUACCCUGGUAGUCCAUGCCGUAAACGAUGUCUACUAGCCGUUGGGGCCUUUGAGGCUUUAGUGGCGCAGCUAACGCGAUAAGUAGACCGCCUGGGGAGUACGGUCGCAAGACUAAAACUCAAAUGAAUUGACGGGGGCCCGCACAAGCGGUGGAGCAUGUGGUUUAAUUCGAUGCAACGCGAAGAACCUUACCUGGCCUUGACAUACUAGAAACUUUCCAGAGAUGGAUUGGUGCCUUCGGGAAUCUAGAUACAGGUGCUGCAUGGCUGUCGUCAGCUCGUGUCGUGAGAUGUUGGGUUAAGUCCCGCAACGAGCGCAACCCUUUUCCUUACUUGCCAGCAUUUCGGAUGGGAACUUUAAGGAUACUGCCAGUGACAAACUGGAGGAAGGCGGGGACGACGUCAAGUCAUCAUGGCCCUUACGGCCAGGGCUACACACG
Molecule: ribosomal RNA, 748 nt
Filed under: Acinetobacter baumannii
Lineage: Bacteria; Pseudomonadati; Pseudomonadota; Gammaproteobacteria; Moraxellales; Moraxellaceae
Description: bacterial SSU rRNA
Rfam family: Bacterial small subunit ribosomal RNA
Source: RNAcentral